This is a long non-coding RNA of Dermochelys coriacea (leatherback sea turtle), 627 nucleotides long. RefSeq lists it as uncharacterized. Lineage: Eukaryota; Metazoa; Chordata; Testudines; Dermochelyidae. The transcript has 4 exons. The record is from RefSeq and is a predicted model, not a curated record.
GGCAUACAGCAACCAAAUCUCCCAAAUUCUCCUUCCUUAACUUCCUUAACAGUGCUUACAAAUCCCUAAAAUGGAAACCAGCCCAUUUGCUGUGUUUAAUCUGCUUCAUUUGGCAGGUUAGCUUACUUUCCAGCAGAAGAAUAGAUCUCACUUUCCUAAAAACAGGAAAGAAAUUUGCUCUUCUAUUGCUGCUCACGGUUGUGUGUGUCAGAUUGUAUUCCUCUUGUUCAUGAUGAGUAGGAUUCUACCGCACAAGCAGGACCCAAUGAAGUCAAUAGGAUUCUUUGAGGAAUUAAUGUACUGGGUAAUGUCACUUGUCACUACUCAUUAGUCCUUGCUAACACCUGUAACUUACCAGUGGGGACCAAGCAAAUUCUUUGCAAAGAGCAGUGUUCUGCAAUCAUUGGAAAACAAAGAUCAAGGAAAGGACAAACCUAAAGCUGAUUCUUCUGUCUUGUUAUAUGAUGAGUUGACAUGGCACCACAAACAACAGGUUUUAAAAAGUGAGAAGAUCUGCAGUAGAAUGAGCAUGUGGAGUCCUGCUAAAAAUAAAUUUAAUUGCUAAAGGUUGUAUUCUGUAUAGAACUUCCAUAGCACCUGUGUGAAUACCUAUUAAAAAAAUCCAAC